Mandrillus leucophaeus (drill) is the source of this 1193-nucleotide RNA transcript. It is a transcript of the gene named F-actin-capping protein subunit alpha-1 pseudogene, with no coding region annotated. Lineage: Eukaryota; Metazoa; Chordata; Mammalia; Primates; Cercopithecidae. The transcript has a single exon. The record is from RefSeq and is a predicted model, not a curated record.
AGCGCAAGAUGGCCAACUUCGUUGAUUGUGUGUUGGAUGAGGAGAAGGUACGCAUAGCUGCUGAAUUCAUCACUCAUGCACCCCCAGGGGAAUUUAAUGAAGUAUUCAGUGAUGUUCGGCUACUACGUAAUAAUGACAACCUCCUCAGGGAAAGGGCAGAACAUGCAUUUGCUCAUUACAACGUGAAUCAGUUCACACCUGUGAAGAUAGAAGGAUAUGAAGAUCAGGUCUUAAUUACAGAGCGUGGUGACCUGGGCAAUAGCAGAGUUUUAGAACCAAGAAACAAAUUUUCCUUUAAAUUUGAUCACUUACAGAAAGAAGCAAGUGACCCCCAGCCAGAACAAGUAGAUGGAGGUCUGAAGUCUUGGAGAUUAUCCUGUGACAGUGCUUUAAGAGCCUGUGUGAAAGACCAUUAUUCCAACUGCUUCUGUACUGUUUAUGCUAAAACUAUCGAUGGGCAACAGACUAUUAUUGCGUGUAUUGAAAGCCACCAGAGUCAGCCUAAAAACUUAUGGAAUGGUCGUUGGAGAUCAGAGUGGAAGUUGACCAUCACACCACCUACAGGCCAGGUGGUUGGAGUGCUUAAGAUUCAGGUUCACUAUUAUGAAGAUGGCAAUGUUCAGUUGGUUAGUCAUAAAGAUGUACAUGAUUCACUGACUGUUUCGAAUGACACACAAACUGCCAAGGAGUUUAUUAAAAUCAUAGAGAAUGCAGAAAAUGAGCGUCAGACAGCAAUUAGUGAAAACUAUCAAACAAUGUCAGAUACCACAUUCAAGGUCUUGCGCCGGCAGCUUCCAGGUACCCGCACCAAAAUCGACUAGAACAAGAUACUCAGCUACAACAUUGCCAAAGAAAUGCAGAAUGCCUAGAGGCUGAAUGUAGGAUUCUUCACUAUGUGGAAAGACAAGGAUUCAACGUGUGGUCAUAUGAUAAAUAAGUGAUUUAUAAACAAGAGUGCUAUUUUGCUAGAGCUUUUAAAGUUAACCAGUUUUCUAGCCUCAUGGAAUACUGUUGAACCUAUAAGCAUUGUCUUGAUUCUUUUGUGUUCUCUGCCUUGCAAUUUUCUGUUAUUGCUAUAUCCAAGUGUAAGUCUUUUUUUUUUUUUUUUUGGUUAAUUCUGGCACAUUUUAUGUUGGAGAGAGAGAUCUAUCCUAGAGACAUUUUACUGUUGAAAAAAGUUUCCUAGCCAUGAA